AUUAAUAGUAGUUUCUAUCUAUCUUAAUUACAUUGACAGCAAAGCAAAUUGCUGAUGUGGCAAUCAAAUUAAUAUGGAGAGAGAUUGCAAAUCAAAGAAACCGUUUCUUAUCUAAGACUCGGUGUCGACUCGUGAAUCAAGACGUCAAGAAACUAGCAAAACACUGUUGGGAGGACUCUACUCGUUUCUAUCGUCUUCUUUCUCGAUCCUGUGUGCUACCGCCGCCUCGCAAGAUCCCCAUGCACGCUCUCCACCCGCGCUCACUGCUCCGGCGCUUGGUGGUCCACACUCGCUCACUGCUCCGGCGGCCGGCGCUUGCUGCUCCCUGCUCACUCGCUGCUCCUGCGCUCACUGCUCCCCACUCGCUCGUUGCUCCUUCGCUUGCUGCU
RNAcentral lists this long non-coding RNA (389 nucleotides) under Sorghum bicolor (sorghum). RNAcentral describes it as "long non-coding RNA (SBIC_LNC002343)". The record is from RNAcentral. Lineage: Eukaryota; Viridiplantae; Streptophyta; Magnoliopsida; Poales; Poaceae.